This 422-nucleotide ribosomal RNA is filed under the name Verrucomicrobiota bacterium. RNAcentral describes it as "Verrucomicrobia bacterium partial 16S ribosomal RNA". It matches the Rfam family "Bacterial small subunit ribosomal RNA", at positions 355 to 776 of the family's 1533-position model. Lineage: Bacteria; Pseudomonadati; Verrucomicrobiota. The record is from RNAcentral.
UGGGGAAUAUUGCACAAUGGGCGAAAGCCUGAUGCAGCGACGCCGCGUGAGGGAUGGAGGCCUUCGGGUUGUAAACCUCUUUCAGUAAGGGUGAAGGCUCUCUUUUGUGGAGGGUUGACAGUACUUGCAGAAGAAGCGCCGGCUAACUACGUGCCAGCAGCCGCGGUAAUACGUAGGGCGCGAGCGUUGUCCGGAAUUAUUGGGCGUAAAGGGCUUGUAGGUGGCGUGUCGCGUCUGCUGUGAAAUUCCAGGGCUUAACUUUGGGAUUGCAGUGGGUACGGGCAUGCUAGAGUGCAGUAGGGGAGAUUGGAAUUCCUGAUGUAGCGGUGAAAUGCGCAGAUAUCAGGAGGAACACCGGUGGCGAAGGCGGGUCUCUGGGCUGUUACUGACGCUGAGGAGCGAAAGCGUGGGGAGCGAACAGG